This 422-nucleotide ribosomal RNA is filed under the name uncultured bacterium. Its description in RNAcentral is "bacterial SSU rRNA". It matches the Rfam family "Bacterial small subunit ribosomal RNA", at positions 355 to 774 of the family's 1533-position model. The record is from RNAcentral.
UGAGGAAUAUUGGACAAUGUGCGCAAGCCUGAUCCAGCCAUGCCGCGUGCAGGAAGAGGCAUCUAUGGUGUGUAAACUGCCUUUGUACGGGAAGAAACACUCCUUCGUGAAGGAGCUUGACGGUACCGUAAGAAUAAGGAUCGGCUAACUCCGUGCCAGCAGCCGUGGUAAUACGGAGGAUCCGAGCGUUAUCCGGAAUCAUUGGGUUUAAAGGGUCCGUAGGCGGUUUAGUAAGUCAGUGGUGAAAGCCCAUCGCUCAACGAUGGAACGGCCAUUGAUACUGCUAGACUUGAAUUAUUAGGAAGUAACUAGAAUAUGUAGUGUGGCGGUGAAAUGCUUAGAUAUUACAUGGAAUACCAAUUGCGAAGGCAGGUUACUACUAAUGGAUUGACGCUGAUGGACGAAAGCGUGGGAAGCGAACA